UGCCAGCCGCCGCGGUAAUACGGAGGGUGCAAGCGUUACUCGGAAUUACUGGGCGUAAAGGGAGCGCAGGCGGUCUAUUAAGUCAGGUGUGAAAGCCCGGGGCUCAACCCCGGAACUGCACCUGAAACUGGUAGACUUGAGGAUGAGAGAGGAAAGUAGAAUUUCUGGUGUAGAGGUGAAAUUCGUUGAUAUCAGAAGGAAUACCCGUGGCGAAGGCGGCUUUCUGGCUCAUUUCUGACGCUGAGGCUCGAAAGUGUGGGUAGCAAACAGGAUUAGAUA
RNAcentral lists this ribosomal RNA (279 nucleotides) under uncultured bacterium. Its description in RNAcentral is "partial 16S ribosomal RNA". It matches the Rfam family "Bacterial small subunit ribosomal RNA", at positions 506 to 784 of the family's 1533-position model. The record is from RNAcentral.